CAUCCACUGCACAAGGACCUGAGAGCACCAGGGCACAAGCAGCGUGAAAGCCCCCCCAGCCCAACCAUCUGCCAUGGACUGGUCCAAACUGCAGUGGAGAAGGGUGGAGGUUCAGAGCAUCUGUAGGACAUGGAUGAUGACACUGUGUGGGGAAACACAGAAGAGGACUUCUUUCAAGAAAGAUCUUGAUGGGAACAGGGCUUGGAGGAACGUCACCUGCCCCAGCCUCUGUCCCCCUCUCAUGAAAGCAUCUGAGAGGCCUCCUCUGUCCCACCAGAGACCCCCCCAAAACUGCCCAUUUAUUCACCUGAGAAGGAGGGGAAGUGACAAUGACUCUGAAAUAUUUUUUUAUACUUAACU
Molecule: long non-coding RNA, 360 nt
Organism: Calypte anna (Anna's hummingbird)
Lineage: Eukaryota; Metazoa; Chordata; Aves; Apodiformes; Trochilidae
Exons: 2
Source: RefSeq, a predicted model, not a curated record